Molecule: long non-coding RNA, 1049 nt
Filed under: Piliocolobus tephrosceles (Ugandan red Colobus)
Lineage: Eukaryota; Metazoa; Chordata; Mammalia; Primates; Cercopithecidae
Description: lncRNA (ENSPTEG00000019575.1)
Source: RNAcentral
GCAUUAAUAGUGGCAUUAGUAGUGCCAUUAGUAGUAGUAAUAGUAAUACCCAAUUAAAUGAUAAAUUAUAUGAUAUUAGUAAAUAUAUUACUCAUGAAAAAUAUAUUAUUGCGUUAAGUAAUUUGUAUAUAUGUACAUUUUGUUUUGUAAAAAACUAUAUGAUUCUUUAUAAUUUUUUAUUAAAUUUAAAAUUCUCUUUAUUUUGUAUAAUAUGCAUAUCCUUCUUUUUUUUAUAUUCUUGUUAUUAUUUAAAAUGUUUAUGUAAUGAUAUAUUUCUUUAUUUUAUUCUAUUUAUUUGUGUUAUUAUUAUAUCUUUAUUUCUCGCAUAUAAUAAUGAAAAAAAAAAAAGAAUAGCAUUCAUGAAUAAACAAGCACCACAAAAAAAAAAAUUAAAACUUUAUCUAACGAAGUAUUUUUCAUUCAGUAAUUCUACUCCAAUGUCUCCUAUUGAAGAUAUUUUAAAUAAUUUGAAAUUGUUACUAGAUUGUACCAAAUUAUUAGAAGAAGGUGCAAGUGAUAAAAAAUUAGUAGAAAUAACAAAUAUGAAAAAAAGAAUCAGAAAAUGUGAAAAUAUAUUAGGGACACAAAACUUAAACGAAGUUCAAUUCUAUGAAAAUAAAAAAGUGGAAAAUAUAUACAAUAUGUGGUGUUUAGAUAAAAAAGAUAACAUUUCGGAAAAAAAAGAAGAAUAUAGUUCAUAUUUAUCUCAGAGCUUAAAAAAAAAAACAUUUAAUUCAUUUUCUUUUAUGCAUUCAUUAUUAUCAUCAUCAUCAUCAAAAUCUCAAGAUAAUUCUUUGGAUAUGUUUGAAUGGAAUGCAGACAUAACAACUCUAUACAAACGAAAUGUUUUCAUAUCAAUCGGAUAUAAAUUGUUAUAUCCUAUAAUUAUAUUAGAGUUAAAAUUUGACAUAGAAAAAUUAAAAAAAUUUCUUUUUAAAAUAUGUUCUUUGUAUAACAAUCUCCCAUACCAUAACAGUUUGCACGCUGCACAGGUAAAAACAUUUGAGUAGAUGAUUGUGCAUAUAGCUUUGAGUGCAUAUAUUAUUGAG